RNAcentral lists this ribosomal RNA (292 nucleotides) under uncultured bacterium. RNAcentral describes it as "partial 16S ribosomal RNA". It matches the Rfam family "Bacterial small subunit ribosomal RNA", at positions 505 to 796 of the family's 1533-position model. The record is from RNAcentral.
GUGCCAGCCGCCGCGGUAAUACGUAGGUGGCAAGCGUUGUCCGGAUUUAUUGGGUUUAAAGGGUGCGUAGGCGGCUUUGUAAGUCAGUGGUGAAAUAUGGCAGCUCAACUGUCAAGGUGCCAUUGAUACUGCGAGGCUUGAGUACAGAUGAGGUAGGCGGAAUUGACGGUGUAGCGGUGAAAUGCUUAGAUAUCGUCAAGAACACCUAUAGCGAAGGCAGCUUACUAGGCUGUAACUGACGCUGAGGCACGAAAGUGUGGGGAUCAAACAGGAUUAGAUACCCGGGUAGUCC